CAGAGUUACUAAACUCCCAAACCCAUGUGAACUUACCUUUGUUGCCUCGGCGGUUACCUACCCUGUAGCUACCCUGUACCUACCCGGUAGAGGCCGCCGGUGGAUCUUCAAACUCUUGUCUGAAUAUGGUCAUUCUGAGUAAUUACUAUAAUAAGUCA
Molecule: unclassified non-coding RNA, 158 nt
Filed under: uncultured Ascomycota
Lineage: Eukaryota; Fungi; Ascomycota
Description: sequence contains ITS1
Source: RNAcentral